Molecule: ribosomal RNA, 253 nt
Filed under: uncultured bacterium
Lineage: Bacteria
Description: partial 16S ribosomal RNA
Rfam family: Bacterial small subunit ribosomal RNA
Source: RNAcentral
UACGAAGGGGGCGAGCGUUGUUCGGAAUUACUGGGCGUAAAGGGCGCGCAGGCGGCUCUGAAAGUCAGAUGUGAAAGCCCCGGGCUUAACCUGGGAAUUGCAUUUGAUACUCUGGAGCUUGAGUACGGGAGAGGAGAGUGGAAUUCCCAGUGUAGAGGUGAAAUUCGUAGGUAUUGGGAAGAACACCGGUGGCGAAGGCGGCUCUCUGGACCGUAACUGACGCUGAGGCGCGAAAGCGUGGGGAGCAAACAGG